UUUUCCGCUGUAGCAAUACAGUGGAAAAUUUAGUGGCGAACGGGUGCGUAACACGUGGGCAAUCUGCCGAAAAGUGGGGGAUAGCUCGCCGAAAGGCGAAUUAAUACCGCAUGUGGUGAGGGACGACAUCUUCCUGAAUCCAAAGCCGGGGCAACCUGGCGCUUUUUGAGGAGCCCGCGGCCUAUCAGCUAGUUGGUGAGGUAACGGCUCACCAAGGCUAUGACGGGUAGCUGGUCUGAGAGGACGACCAGUCACACUGGAACUGAGACACGGUCCAGACACCUACGGGUGGCAGCAGUCGAGAAUUUUUCUCAAUGGGGAAAACCCUGAAGGAGCGACGCCGCGUGGAGGAUGAAGGCUUUCGGGUUGUAAACUCCUGUCAUUUGGGAACAAGGUGCACCGGUUAACUGCCGGAGUAUUGAUAGUACCAGAAGAGGAAGAGACGGCUAACUCUGUGCCAGCAGCCGCGGUAAUACAGAGGUCUCAAGCGUUGUUCGGAUUCAUUGGGCGUAAAGGGUGCGUAGGUGGCGCUGUAAGUCGGGUGUGAAAUUUCGGAGCUUAACUCCGAAACUGCAUUCGAUACUGCGGUGCUUGAGGACUGGAGAGGAGACUGGAAUUCAUGGUGUAGCAGUGAAAUGCGUAGAGAUCAUGAGGAAGACCAGUGGCGAAGGCGGGUCUCUGGACAGUUCCUGACACUGAGGCACGAAGGCCAGGGGAGCAAACGGGAUUAGAUACCCCGGUAGUCCUGGCAGUAAACGGUGCACGUUUGGUGUGGGGGGGAUUCGACCCCUUCCGCGCCGGAGCUAACGCGUUAAACGUG
This 820-nucleotide ribosomal RNA is filed under the name uncultured Verrucomicrobiae bacterium. RNAcentral describes it as "bacterial SSU rRNA". It matches the Rfam family "Bacterial small subunit ribosomal RNA", at positions 67 to 868 of the family's 1533-position model. Lineage: Bacteria; Pseudomonadati; Verrucomicrobiota; Verrucomicrobiia. The record is from RNAcentral.